This 253-nucleotide ribosomal RNA is filed under the name uncultured bacterium. Its description in RNAcentral is "partial 16S ribosomal RNA". It matches the Rfam family "Bacterial small subunit ribosomal RNA", at positions 524 to 776 of the family's 1533-position model. The record is from RNAcentral.
UACGUAGGUGGCAAGCGUUGUCCGGAUUUAUUGGGUUUAAAGGGUGCGUAGGCGGCUUUGUAAGUCAGUGGUGAAAUAUGGCAGCUCAACUGUCAGGGUGCCAUUGAUACUGCGGAGCUUGAGUACAGAUGAGGUAGGCGGAAUUGACGGUGUAGCGGUGAAAUGCUUAGAUAUCGUCAAGAACACCGAUAGCGAAGGCAGCUUACUAGGCUGUAACUGACGCUGAGGCACGAAAGUGUGGGGAGCAAACAGG